AUUGAACGCUGGCGGCAGGCCUAACACAUGCAAGUCGAACGGUAACAGGAAUCAGCUUGCUGAUUCGCUUACGCGUGGCGGGCGGGUGUGUAAUGUCUGUGAACCUGCCUGAUGGAGGGGGAUAACUCCUGGAAACGGUAGCUAAUACCGCAUAACGUCGCAAGCCCAAAGAGGGGGACCUUCGGGCCUCUUUCCAGCGAAUGUGCCCAGACGGGAUUAGCUAGUAGGUGGGGUAAAGGCUUACCUAGGCGACGAUCCGUAGCCGAUCUGAGAGGGUGACCGGCCACACUGGAACUGAGACACGGUCCAGACUCCUACGGGAGGCAGCAGUAGGGAAUCUUGCGCAAUGGGCGAAAGCCUGACGGAGCAACGCCGCGUGAGUGAAGAAGGUCUUCGGAUCGUAAAACUCUGUUAUUAGGGAAGAACAAAUGUGUAAGUAACUAUGCACGUAUUGACGGUACCUAAUCAGAAAGCCACGGCUAACUACGUG
This 490-nucleotide ribosomal RNA is filed under the name uncultured bacterium. Its description in RNAcentral is "partial 16S ribosomal RNA". It matches the Rfam family "Bacterial small subunit ribosomal RNA", at positions 30 to 507 of the family's 1533-position model. The record is from RNAcentral.